This 122-nucleotide ribosomal RNA is filed under the name Vibrio breoganii. Its description in RNAcentral is "partial 16S ribosomal RNA". It matches the Rfam family "Bacterial small subunit ribosomal RNA", at positions 1423 to 1533 of the family's 1533-position model. Lineage: Bacteria; Pseudomonadati; Pseudomonadota; Gammaproteobacteria; Vibrionales; Vibrionaceae. The record is from RNAcentral.
GAAGUGGGUAGUUUAACCUUUCGAGGAGGACGCUCACCACUUUGUGGUUCAUGACUGGGGUGAAGUCGUAACAAGGUAGCCCUAGGGGAACCUGGGGCUGGAUCACCUCCUUAUACGAUGAU